UGGUCAGCCACACUGGGACUGAGACACUGCCCAGACUCCUACGGGAGGCUGCAGUCGAGGAUCAUUGGCAAUGCGCGAAAGCGUGACCAUGCGACGCUGCGUGGAGGAUGACGGCCUUCGGGUUGUAAACUCCUGUCAUCCGGGAAAAAUGGUCCGGCUCUGAAUAAGGGUUGGGCGUGAUGGUACCGGAAGAGGAAGCCACGGCUAACUCUGUGCCAGCAGCCGCGGUAAUACAGAGGUGGCGAGCGUUGUUCGGAUUUACUGGGCGUAAAGGGUGCGUAGGUGGCUUCGUAUGUCGAAUGUGAAAGCCCACUGCCCAACAGUGGAAUGGCAUUCGAAACUGCGGAGCUUGAGUCCAGGAGGGGAGAGCGGAAUUCUGGGUGUAGCGGUGAAAUGCGUUGAUAUCCAGAAGAACACCGGUGGCGAAGGCGGCUCUCUGGAAUGGUACUGACACUGAUGCACGAAAGCUGGGGGAGCAAACAGGAUUAGAUACCCUGGUAGUCCCAGCCGUAAACGGUGUGCACUUGGUGUGGGGAGUAUUAACCCUCUCCGUGCCGGAGCUAACGCGUUAAGUGCACCGCCUGGGGAGUACGGCCGCAAGGCUAAAACUCAAAGAAAUUGACGGGGGCCCGCACAAGCGGAGGAGCAUGUGGCUUAAUUCGAUGCAACGCGAAGAACCUUACCAGGGCUUGACAUGCAGCUGCACGUCCCGUGAAAGCGGGAUUCCUUCGAGGGUGCUGCACAGGUGCUGCAUGGCUGUCGUCAGUUCGUGCCGUGAGGUGUUGGGUUAAGUCCCGCAACGAACGCAACCCUUGUGUUUAGUUGCCACCGCCGGUGAUGAGCCGGCGAGCACUCUAAACAGACUGCCCGUACAAGCGGGAGGAAGGUGGGGACGACGUCAAGUCAGUAUGGCCCUUACGCCCUGGGCUGCACACGUGCUACAAUGGCCGGUAUAAUGGGAUGCAAUAUCGCGAGGUGGCGCAAAUCCGCAAAACCGGCCUCAGUUCGGAUUGGAGUCUGAAACUCGACUCCAUGAAGUUGGAUUCGCUAGUAACGGCGCAUCAGCUACGGCGCCGUGAAUACGUUCCCGGGCCUUGUACACACCGCCCGUCACAUCAUGAAAGCUGUCUGCACCCGAAGUCACUGGGCCAACCUUUACGGGAGGUAGGUGCCGAAGGUGUGGGUGGUGAUUGGGAUGAAGUCGUAACAAGGUA
Molecule: ribosomal RNA, 1214 nt
Filed under: metagenome
Description: bacterial SSU rRNA
Rfam family: Bacterial small subunit ribosomal RNA
Source: RNAcentral